UCCUACGGGAGGCAGCAGUGGGGAAUAUUGGACAAUGGGCGCAAGCCUGAUCCAGCCAUGCCGCGUGAGUGAUGAAGGCCCUAGGGUUGUAAAGCUCUUUCACCGGUGAAGAUAAUGACGGUAACCGGAGAAGAAGCCCCGGCUAACUUCGUGCCAGCAGCCGCGGUAAUA
This 171-nucleotide ribosomal RNA is filed under the name uncultured bacterium. Its description in RNAcentral is "partial 16S ribosomal RNA". It matches the Rfam family "Bacterial small subunit ribosomal RNA", at positions 337 to 525 of the family's 1533-position model. The record is from RNAcentral.